CGGGUGAGUAAUACAUCGGAACGUGUCUUCUAGUGGGGGAUAACUGCCCGAAAGGGCAGCUAAUACCGCAUGAGACCUGAGGGUGAAAGCGGGGGAUCGUAAGACCUCGCGCUGGAAGAGCGGCCGAUGUCCGAUUAGCUAGUUGGUGAGGUAAAGGCUCACCAAGGCGACGAUCGGUAGCUGGUCUGAGAGGACGACCAGCCACACUGGGACUGAGACACGGCCCAG
RNAcentral lists this ribosomal RNA (228 nucleotides) under uncultured bacterium. Its description in RNAcentral is "partial 16S ribosomal RNA". It matches the Rfam family "Bacterial small subunit ribosomal RNA", at positions 103 to 334 of the family's 1533-position model. The record is from RNAcentral.